UCCUCUGAAUCUCCAAUUCUGGUUACUACAAUUAAUAGUGCUUUCUAUUAUAAUAAAAAAAAUCCAAAAAUUUUAAUCAAUACUUUAACCAUUAAACUGUCGAUUAUGAAACAGUAAACGUUAUGCCCCGUGCCAUACCAGCAACUAUUUCAAAACAAAAAGCAACUACUAGAAGUAGGAAGGAUUACUCGAAAUGCUAACAAAACACAACAAAUUGUUUCUGUUUUUGAUGGCA
This 235-nucleotide long non-coding RNA is filed under the name Elaeis guineensis (African oil palm). RNAcentral describes it as "long non-coding RNA (EGUI_LNC023120)". The record is from RNAcentral. Lineage: Eukaryota; Viridiplantae; Streptophyta; Magnoliopsida; Arecales; Arecaceae.